UGCAAUUAAUGAUGAUUUUUUUUUUCAUAAUUGUUGAUUGAACAGUGAUUAAUACAAAAAUAUUACCAUCUUUCGACUGAGAUUGCA
This is a non-coding RNA of Capsicum annuum, 87 nucleotides long. The record is from Rfam. NCBI's taxonomy places the organism in Eukaryota, Viridiplantae, Streptophyta, Magnoliopsida, Solanales, Solanaceae.